RNAcentral lists this ribosomal RNA (254 nucleotides) under uncultured bacterium. RNAcentral describes it as "partial 16S ribosomal RNA". It matches the Rfam family "Bacterial small subunit ribosomal RNA", at positions 524 to 776 of the family's 1533-position model. The record is from RNAcentral.
UACGAAGGGUGCAAGCGUUAAUCGGAAUUACUGGGCGUAAAGGGUGCGUAGGCGGUUGUUUAAGUCUGUCGUGAAAUCCCCGGGCUCAACCUGGGAAUGGCGAUGGAUACUGGACAGCUAGAGUGUGUCAGAGGAUGGUGGAAUUCCUGGUGUAGCGGUGAAAUGCGCAGAUAUCAGGAAGAACACCCGUGGCUAAGGCGGCUCUCUAGUACGGUACUGGACGCUGAGACGCGAAAGCGUGGGGAGCGAACAGG